GACAGAGGGUGCAAACGUUGUUCGGAUUUACUGGGCGUAAAGCGCGUGUAGGCGGCUUUGCAAGUCGGAUGUGAAAGCCCACGGCUCAACCGUGGAAGUGCAUCCGAAACUGCAUGGCUCGAGUCUCGGAGAGGAAGGUGGAAUGCUUGGUGUAGAGGUGAAAUUCGUAGAUAUCAAGCAGAACACCUGCGGCGACGGCGGCCUUCUGGACGAUGACUGACGCUGAGACGCGAAAGCGUGGGGAGCAAACAGG
RNAcentral lists this ribosomal RNA (253 nucleotides) under uncultured bacterium. Its description in RNAcentral is "partial 16S ribosomal RNA". It matches the Rfam family "Bacterial small subunit ribosomal RNA", at positions 524 to 776 of the family's 1533-position model. The record is from RNAcentral.